AACGAACGCUGGCGGCAUGCCUAACACAUGCAAGUCGAACGAGACCUUCGGGGCUAGUGGCGCACGGGUGCGUAACGCGUGGGAACCUGCCCUUAGGUUCGGAAUAACUCCCCGAAAGGGGUGCUAAUACCGGAUAAUGUCUUCGGACCAAAGAUUUAUCGCCUUUGGAUGGGCCCGCGUUGGAUUAGCUAGUUGGUAGGGUAAAAGCCUACCAAGGCGACGAUCCAUAGCUGGUCUGAGAGGAUGAUCAGCCACACUGGGACUGAGACACGGCCCAGACUCCUACGGGAGGCAGCAGUGGGGAAUAUAGGACAAUGGGCGAAAGCCUGAUCCAGCAAUGCCGCGUGAGUGAUGAAGGCCUUAGGGUUGUAAAGCUCUUUUACCCGGGAUGAUAAUGACAGUACCGGGAGAAUAAGCUCCGGCUAACUACGUG
Molecule: ribosomal RNA, 433 nt
Filed under: uncultured bacterium
Lineage: Bacteria
Description: partial 16S ribosomal RNA
Rfam family: Bacterial small subunit ribosomal RNA
Source: RNAcentral